This 253-nucleotide ribosomal RNA is filed under the name uncultured bacterium. RNAcentral's name for it is "partial 16S ribosomal RNA". It matches the Rfam family "Bacterial small subunit ribosomal RNA", at positions 524 to 776 of the family's 1533-position model. The record is from RNAcentral.
UACGAAGGGGGCUAGCGUUGUUCGGAAUCACUGGGCGUAAAGCGCACGUAGGCGGACUUUCAAGUCAGGGGUGAAAUCCCGGGGCUCAACCUCGGAAUUGCCUUUGAUACUGUAGGUCUCGAGUCCGGAAGAGGUGGGUGGAAUUCCUAGUGUAGAGGUGAAAUUCGUAGAUAUUAGGAAGAACACCAGUGGCGAAGGCGGCUCACUGGCCCGGUACUGACGCUCAUGUGCGAAAGCGUGGGGAGCAAACAGG